This 373-nucleotide unclassified non-coding RNA is filed under the name Hevea brasiliensis (rubber tree). The record is from RNAcentral. Lineage: Eukaryota; Viridiplantae; Streptophyta; Magnoliopsida; Malpighiales; Euphorbiaceae.
UAAUAAUUCAUUCCCUUUUUCUUCAUCAUCUACAUCAAAUCUGCUUCAAUGGAGCCUCCAAAUCCCCAGCAAUUCCAGCAAUUUCUCAGCAGUGUUCUGUCUCAGCGUGGUCCAGCUGCACUUCCUUAUGCUGAAGAUGUGAAAUGGCUGAUUCGUCAACAUCUCCUUUCUUUAAUCGAUAUGUAUCCUUCACUUCAGCCGAAAACUGCUUCAUUUACUCAUAAUGAUGGAAGGACUGUGAAUCUAUUGCAAGCUGUAGGUACUGUUCCGAUGGUUUAUCUAGAUCGUACGUAUAAUAUUCCGGUGAUUAUUUGGUUGAUGGAAUCUUACCCACGUCAUCCGCCGUUGGUUUUUGUGAAUCCGACUAGGGAUA